This 496-nucleotide ribosomal RNA is filed under the name uncultured bacterium. Its description in RNAcentral is "partial 16S ribosomal RNA". It matches the Rfam family "Bacterial small subunit ribosomal RNA", at positions 28 to 506 of the family's 1533-position model. The record is from RNAcentral.
GAUGAACGCUGGCGGCGUGCCUAAUACAUGCAAGUCGAGCGAACAGACGAGGAGCUUGCUCCUCUGACGUUAGCGGCGGACGGGUGAGUAACACGUGGAUAACCUACCUAUAAGACUGGGAUAACUUCGGGAAACCGGAGCUAAUACCGGAUAAUAUAUUGAACCGCAUGGUUCAAUAGUGAAAGACGGUUUUGCUGUCACUUAUAGAUGGAUCCGCGCCGCAUUAGCUAGUUGGUAAGGUAACGGCUUACCAAGGCAACGAUGCGUAGCCGACCUGAGAGGGUGAUCGGCCACACUGGAACUGAGACACGGUCCAGACUCCUACGGGAGGCAGCAGUAGGGAAUCUUCCGCAAUGGUCGAAAGCCUGACGGAGCAACGCCGCGUGAGUGAUGAAGGUCUUCGGAUCGUAAAACUCUGUUAUUAGGGAAGAACAAAUGUGUAAGUAACUAUGCACGUCUUGACGGUACCUAAUCAGAAAGCCACGGCUAACUACGU